AGCAUAUCAAUAAGCGGAGGAAAAGAAACCAACAGGGAUUGCCCUAGUAACGGCGAGUGAAGCGGCAACAGCUCAAAUUUGAAAUCUGGCCUUCGGGUCCGAGUUGUAAUUUGUAGAGGAUGCUUUUGGCGCGGUGCCUUCCGAGUUCCCUGGAACGGGACGCCUUAGAGGGUGAGAGCCCCGUACGGUUGGACACCAAGCCUCUGUAAAGCUCCUUCGACGAGUCGAGUAGUUUGGGAAUGCUGCUCUAAAUGGGAGGUAAAUUUCUUCUAAAGCUAAAUAUUGGCCAGAGACCGAUAGCGCACAAGUAGAGUGAUCGAAAGAUGAAAAGCACUUUGAAAAGAGGGUUAAAUAGCACGUGAAAUUGUUGAAAGGGAAGCGUUUGCGACCAGACUUUUCCCUAGCGGAUCAUCCGGUGUUCUCACCGGUGCACUUCGCUAGGUUAAGGCCAGCAUCGGUUUCUGUAGGGGGAUAAAAGCUUGGGGAAUGUAGCUCCCUCGGGAGUGUUAUAGCCUCUUGUAUAAUACCCUUACGGGGACCGAGGACCGCGCUUUUGCAAGGAUGCUGGCGUAAUGGUUGUCAACGACCCGUCUUGAAACACGGACCAAGGAGUCGAACAUUUGUGCGAGUGUUUGGGUGUUAAACCCUCACGCGUAAUGAAAGUGAACGGAGGUGAGAGCCCUUACGGGUGCAUCAUCGACCGAUCCUGAUGUCUUCGGAUGGAUUUGAGUAAGAGCAUAACUGUUCGGACCCGAAAGAUGGUGAACUAUGCGUGGAUAGGGUGAAGCCAGAGGAAACUCUGGUGGAGGCUCGCAGCGGUUCUGACGUGCAAAUCGAUCGUCAAAUCUGCGCAUGGGGGCGAAAGACU
This 868-nucleotide ribosomal RNA is filed under the name Xylaria arbuscula. RNAcentral describes it as "partial large subunit ribosomal RNA". It matches the Rfam family "Eukaryotic large subunit ribosomal RNA", at positions 37 to 932 of the family's 3401-position model. Lineage: Eukaryota; Fungi; Ascomycota; Sordariomycetes; Xylariales; Xylariaceae. The record is from RNAcentral.